Molecule: unclassified non-coding RNA, 304 nt
Filed under: Hevea brasiliensis (rubber tree)
Lineage: Eukaryota; Viridiplantae; Streptophyta; Magnoliopsida; Malpighiales; Euphorbiaceae
Source: RNAcentral
GGCUGUUGAGGCGAGAGGUCAGGGCGGCACUUAAUCCGGGAGAAACCCCAGAGGGCGGUAAGUUGGAUGUUUCCGCAACUUUGGUGUCCUUCGAAAGAAUCCCACUAUCGGUGAAAAUGUCCUUCAGCUCGCCACUUUCAUGCAUAGCAACUGCAAUGUCGCAACCACCAACAAGCUCGCCCUUACAGAAGAGUUGGGGGAAGGUUGGCCAGUUGGAGAACUUCUUCAUACCUUCACGUACUUCGCUAUCCAUGAGUAUGUCGAAGCUUCCAAAUUCAACUCCUUCGUCCUUUAAGAUAUCAAC